RNAcentral lists this ribosomal RNA (446 nucleotides) under uncultured bacterium. Its description in RNAcentral is "bacterial SSU rRNA". It matches the Rfam family "Bacterial small subunit ribosomal RNA", at positions 329 to 792 of the family's 1533-position model. The record is from RNAcentral.
GGCCAGACUCCUACGGGAGGCAGCAGUGGGGGAUAUUGCACAAUGGGGGAAACCCUGAUGCAGCAACGCCGCGUGAGUGAAGAAGUAUUUCGGUAUGUAAAGCUCUAUCAGCAGGGAAGAAAAUGACGGUACCUGACUAAGAAGCUCCGGCUAAAUACGUGCCAGCAGCCGCGGUAAUACGUAUGGAGCAAGCGUUAUCCGGAUUUACUGGGUGUAAAGGGAGCGCAGGCGGUACGGCAAGUCCGAUGUGAAAACCCGGGGCUCAACCCCGGGACUGCAUUGGAAACUGCCGCACUAGAGUGCCGGAGAGGUAAGUGGAAUUCCUAGUGUAGCGGUGAAAUGCGUAGAUAUUAGGAGGAACACCAGUGGCGAAGGCGGCUUACUGGACGGUAACUGACGCUGAGGCUCGAAAGCGUGGGGAGCAAACAGGAUUAGAUACCCGGGUA